GAAGAUGACGAGUGGCGGACGGGUGAGUAAUGCUUGGGAACUUGCCUUUGCGAGGGGGAUAACAGUUGGAAACGACUGCUAAUACCGCAUAAUGUCUUCGGACCAAACGGGGCUUCGGCUCCGGCGCAAAGAGAGGCCCAAGUGAGAUUAGCUAGUUGGUAAGGUAACGGCUUACCAAGGCGACGAUCUCUAGCUGUUCUGAGAGGAAGAUCAGCCACACUGGGACUGAGACACGGCCCAGACUCCUACGGGAGGCAGCAGUGGGGAAUAUUGCACAAUGGGGGAAACCCUGAUGCAGCCAUGCCGCGUGUGUGAAGAAGGCCUUCGGGUUGUAAAGCACUUUCAGUUGUGAGGAAAAGUUAGUAGUUAAUACCUGCUAGCCGUGACGUUAACAACAGAAGAAGCACCGGCUAACUCCGUGCCAGCAGCCGCGGUAAUACGGAGGGUGC
Molecule: ribosomal RNA, 449 nt
Filed under: Alteromonas macleodii ATCC 27126
Lineage: Bacteria; Pseudomonadati; Pseudomonadota; Gammaproteobacteria; Alteromonadales; Alteromonadaceae
Description: bacterial SSU rRNA
Rfam family: Bacterial small subunit ribosomal RNA
Source: RNAcentral